UUAAGUUUGCGAAUUUCUGAUUCAUCAAUUUUUUUGUUUAUGCUAAUUAAUUACACUAAAUAAAGAGACAAAUUCAAUUGAAUUAGAAUUGAAAAGAAAGAGUUGAAAGUACCUGUGGUGGCUUGUUUGGAAACUUGUUCAGCCAUCUUAAUGACAUCUUCCCAUGUUACUUUGUCAUUGAAGGAAGAAGAAGAAAGAGUUUGAUCCAAAACCUGUAGGGUUUGUUUGGUUUAAUUUGUGAGUUUUUUUUAUUUGUGGUGUUUAAUUUGAGUUUUUUUAUUUUAUUUUUUUAGGUUUUCAUGAGAAAUGUGAAGAAUUUUUAUGGCAUGAUAAGGUUGAAAGAAG
RNAcentral lists this long non-coding RNA (345 nucleotides) under Medicago truncatula (barrel medic). Its description in RNAcentral is "long non-coding RNA (MTRU_LNC007880)". Lineage: Eukaryota; Viridiplantae; Streptophyta; Magnoliopsida; Fabales; Fabaceae. The record is from RNAcentral.